Molecule: long non-coding RNA, 1129 nt
Organism: Pygocentrus nattereri (red-bellied piranha)
Lineage: Eukaryota; Metazoa; Chordata; Actinopteri; Characiformes; Serrasalmidae
Exons: 3
Source: RefSeq, a predicted model, not a curated record
UCUCUCUCUCUCUCCCUCUCUCUCCCUCUCUCUCUCUCUCUCUCUCUCUCUUUGGAUGAUGUGAUUCACUCUGACAGGCUGAGUCUCCGGUUUUUAGCCUGUGUCUGUGUGGGACUGAGAGCUCAUUCAGAAGAUCAGAUCUUUCUCGUCCUUCACUCAGACUGAAAGCUCUGCUGCGUCUCUCAUCAUAUAAUAACUCGAGUUUGUCCAAGCCUCUCUGCUGGGUUUCAGAAUAAUGCUGCUGAGGCCAAUGUUCUUAUUAUCUGAAGGGAUUCCGUACUGACAGUACAGGAGAAGACCUGCUAUUCAGUGUAUCAUCUACGUGAGUGGUACUGUGAGUAUUACUGUCAGUAUGAUCAUCAGGCUGGGCAGACUCACUCCGGGGUACUUCAAACUGCUACAGAGGCAGAUGUCAGGUGAGGUUCAGGUGCAGCCUCAGUUUGGACGCAUCAAUCACAUCGCUAUGGCGAUGGCGAUGGCGGGUGUGAGUGUCUCGUUCUACAGCGCCAGGAAGAUGGGUCAACAGCACAUUCAACAGGAACCAUGCUAAAGACCUGCAGAACCUCACUAAAGGAACUAUGUUAGAACCACAGAAACACCCAGCAUACCAUGCUAAUGGAACCAGAGACUGAUGCUUCAGAACUGGAGAUCCAGGGUAAAAGAACCAGAAGACCAAGUUAGCAGAACCUGAGGACCACACUAACAGAACAACCACUCUAAUACUUUUGGAGGAUACUAAAGAACUGUAGAACCACACAGACUCAGGGAGCCGUUUGGUUCUACUAGAACUGAAGGACAACACUAACAAAAACAUAAAAUCAUGUUAACAGAACAGAAACUUAUCACUACUGUACUCUGUAUUGUAGUGCACUACAUAGUACAGCAGGGAGCUAGUGCACUACAUAGUACAGCUGGAAGCUAGUGCACUACAUAGUACAGCAGGGAGCUAGUGCACUACAUAGUACAGCUGGAAGCUAGUGCACUACAUAAUACAGCAGGGAGCUAGUGCACUACAUAGUACAGCUGGAAGCUAGUGCACUACAUAGUACAGCAGGGAGCUAGUGCACUACAUAGUACAGCAGGGAGCUAGUGCACUACAUAGUACUGCAGGGAGCUAGUGCACUACAUA